UACGGGGGGAGCAAGCGUUGUUCGGAUUUACUGGCGUAAAGGGCGCGUAGGCGGUCGUGACAAGUCACUUGUGAAAUCUCCGGGCUUAACUCGGAACGGUCAAGUGAUACUGUCGGACUAGAGUACAGAAGGGGCAACUGGAAUUCUCGGUGUAGCGGUGAAAUGCGUAGAUAUCAGGAGGAACACCAAUUGCGAAGGCAGCUCGCUGGGACGUUACUGACGCUGAGACGCGAAAGCGUGGGGAGCAAACAGG
This 253-nucleotide ribosomal RNA is filed under the name uncultured bacterium. RNAcentral's name for it is "partial 16S ribosomal RNA". It matches the Rfam family "Bacterial small subunit ribosomal RNA", at positions 524 to 776 of the family's 1533-position model. The record is from RNAcentral.